Molecule: small RNA, 109 nt
Filed under: Pan troglodytes (chimpanzee)
Lineage: Eukaryota; Metazoa; Chordata; Mammalia; Primates; Hominidae
Description: sense overlapping
Source: RNAcentral
CAAGGUAAGCUGUCAUCAGUUGGAGGUAAGCGGAAGACAGUAGAGAGUACAGAGCCCUGGACUGUGACUCAGAGGAUGAGCACCAGAUCCAGUUUGCUGUGCCACAGUG